GCAGGAGUCGAGGGCUGGCAGGGAGGAGCUGAUUUCUGGGUCUAGUGUGUGGAGUGAACCUCUCAAUUCCCAUCCCUUCGACUCGGGGUGUGGGCUCUGCCCCCCUUUCUUUGCCAUCUCCGUGGGGUUUCCAUCGGACGUGGGUCAGAGAUCCCAGUCUGAUGGGAAUGGAGGGCGGCCUCACUUCCAUCCUGUACUAGGUACGGACCCCACCCCCUCCCCCUGGGUCUCUGAUGUCACAGAGCCACCCGUGUGUUCCUGGUGGGCUUGGUACCGCAGACCCUCCACCGAGGCUUCUGAAUGGGUCCCUUCCCCGUGGACAAGAAAAGUCCGACCUGUCUUGUCCUCCUGCCUGAGCGCCUCCGUGGUGUUCGGUGUCUGGGAUGCAUUUCCACUAGCCAUUUGCUUGCAAACUGAAUGAAAGGCACCUUCUGGCCUGUGUAUUUCAGCUCAAGACAGAGUGAUGAAGUACCCACUGUGACUUUUCCGAUGGCAAAUCCCAUGCAGCACGACCUCUGGUGGGGAGGGCUGGGGGUGGAGUUGUGCACACCCUCUGGUCUCCGGCAGCAUGGUCCUCUUCUCCCUGGGCGCUGGGUGGAUCCGCCUUCCCUCACUGUGACUGUGACCCCAGGAGCAGCGUGUGAAACUGCCCCGUCGUGCUUGGACCAGGAGGUGGGGAUGGCAGAGCAGGGAACCUUCUGCCUUGGACUGGAGGGGAUCUUGACCGCCCACCCAGAGGGAUGCCACAGUGACUCUGGGCUGGUGCGUGGAUGGCCCCUCCUUCCUGCGGGCUGGCUGGCGGUGCCGACAGGUUGGCAUGCCAGCGCCGGAGGGUUGUCUUGAGGGCUUAGUGGCAUCAAUGCUCCAAAAAUGUGGAAAACUGUUAAUGACGCUUUGCCCCAUGCCAUAUUCGAGGGCUCAAUCCUAGCUGGCGUUCCUGUGCCACAGGUGAGCUCUCCCUGCUGCUCUCCUGCAUUCCGUCCUGGGUCUCAUCCUCACCUGCCAUUGCAGGUUCACUUGAUUUACGACCUGUGUUUUAUAAACUGGGCCUCUGCAAGCAUUG
Molecule: non-coding RNA, 1063 nt
Organism: Ictidomys tridecemlineatus (thirteen-lined ground squirrel)
Lineage: Eukaryota; Metazoa; Chordata; Mammalia; Rodentia; Sciuridae
Source: RefSeq, a predicted model, not a curated record